UACGGAAGGCAGCAGUGGGGAAUAUUGCACAAUGGGCGCAAGCCUGAUGCAGCCAUGCCGCGUGUAUGAAAAAGGCCUUCGGGUUGUAAAGUACUUUUCAGUCGUGAGGAAGGUGUUAAGGUUAAUAACCUUAGCAAUUGACGUUAGCGACAGAAGAAGCACCGGCUAACUCCGUGCCAGCAGCCGCGGUAAUACGGAGGGUGCGAGCGUUAAUCGGAAUUACUGGGCGUAAAGGGCACGCAGGCGGUUAAUAAGUUGGAUGUGAAAUCCCCGGGCUUAACCUGGGAAUGGCAUUCAAGACUGGUUAGCUAGAGUCUUGUAGAGGGGGUAGAAUUCCAUGUGUAGCGGUGAAAUGCGUAGAGAUGUGGAGGAAUACCGGUGGCGAAGGCGGCCCCUGGACAAAGACUGACGCUCAUGUGCGAAAGCGUGGGGAGCAAACAGGGAUUAGAUACC
RNAcentral lists this ribosomal RNA (453 nucleotides) under uncultured bacterium. Its description in RNAcentral is "bacterial SSU rRNA". It matches the Rfam family "Bacterial small subunit ribosomal RNA", at positions 340 to 786 of the family's 1533-position model. The record is from RNAcentral.